CCAGUUGGUCAGCACAUGCCCGGAGCACACGUCCUGGUAAUCCGUCUGGCCCUGCGGCCUUGUGAAUGUUGACCUGUUUAAAGGUCUAACUCACAUCGGCUCACCCACACACUACUCUAUAAUGACAAAGGUCUAACUCACAUCGGCUCACCCACACACUACUCUAUAAUGACAAAGGUCUAACUCACAUCGGCUCACCCACACACUACUCUAUAAUGACAAAGGUCUAACUCACCGGCUCACCCACACACUACUCUAUAAUGACAAAGGUCUAACUCACCGGCUCACCCACACACUACUCUAUAAUGACAAAGGUCUAACUCAUCGGCUCACCCACACACUACUCUAUAAUGACAAAGGUCUAACUCAUCGGCUCACCCACACACUACUCUAUAAUGACAAAGGUCUAACUCAUCGGCUCACCCACACACUACUCUAUAAUGACAAAGGUCUAACUCACCGGCUCACCCACACACUACUCUAUAUUGACAAAGGUCUAACUCACCGGCUCACCCACACACUACUCUAUAAUGACAAAGGUCUAACUCACAUCGGCUCACCCACACACUACUCUAUAAUGACAAAGGUCUAACUCACAUCGGCUCACCCACACACUACUCUAUAAUGACAAAGGUCUAACUCACACCGGCUCACCCACACACUACUCUAUAAUGACAAAGGUCUAACUCACAUCGGCUCACCCACACACUACUCUAUAAUGACAAAGGUCUAACUCACCGGCUCACCCACACACUACUCUAUAAUGACAAAGGUCUAACUCACAUCGGCUCACCCACACACUACUCUAUAAUGACAAAGGUCUAACUCACAUCGGCUCACCCACACACUACUCUAUAAUGACAAAGGUCUAACUCACCGGCUCACCCACACACUACUCUAUAAUGACAAAGGUCUAACUCACAUCGGCUCACCCACACACUACUCUAUAAUGACAAAGGUCUAACUCACAUCGGCUCACCCACACACUACUCUAUAAUGACAAAGGUCUAACUCACAUCGGCUCACCCACACACUACUCUAUAAUGACAAAGGUCUAACUCACCGGCUCACCCACACACUACUCUAUAAUGACAAAGGUCUAACUCACAUCGGCUCACCCACACACUACUCUAUAAUGACAAAGGUCUAACUCACACCGGCUCACCCACACACUACUCUAUAAUGACAAAGGUCUAACUCACAUCGGCUCACCCACACACUACUCUAUAAUGACAAAGGUCUAACUCACCGGCUCACCCACACACUACUCUAUAAUGACAAAGGUCUAACUCACAUCGGCUCACCCACACACUACUCUAUAAUGACAAAGGUCUAACUCACCGGCUCACCCACACACUACUCUAUAAUGACAAAGGUCUAACUCACAUCGGCUCACCCACACACUACUCUAUAAUGACAAAGGUCUAACUCACAUCGGCUCACCCACACACUACUCUAUAAUGACAAAGGUCUAACUCACAUCGGCUCACCCACACACUACUCUAUAAUGACAAAGGUCUAACUCACCGGCUCACCCACACACUACUCUAUAAUGACAAAGGUCUAACUCACAUCGGCUCACCCACACACUACUCUAUAAUGACAAAGGUCUAACUCACAUCGGCUCACCCACACACUACUCUAUAAUGACAAAGGUCUAACUCACAUCGGCUCACCCACACACUACUCUAUAAUGACAAAGGUCUAACUCACAUCGGCUCACCCACACACUACUCUAUAAUGACAAAGGUCUAACUCACAUCGGCUCACCCACACACUACUCUAUAAUGACAAAGGUCUAACUCACACCGGCUCACCCACACACUACUCUAUAAUGACAAAGGUCUAACUCACCGGCUCACCCACACACUACUCUAUAAUGACAAAGGUCUAACUCACCGGCUCACCCACACACUACUCUAUUAUGACAAAGUGAAAACAUGUUUGUUGAAUUUUUUGCUAAUUUAGUGAAAAUUAAUUUACAUAAGUAUUCACACCCCUGAGUCGAUACAUGUUAGAAUCACCUUUUGAUUCUUUCUGGU
Long non-coding RNA from Oncorhynchus tshawytscha (Chinook salmon), 2042 nucleotides. RefSeq lists it as uncharacterized. NCBI's taxonomy places the organism in Eukaryota, Metazoa, Chordata, Actinopteri, Salmoniformes, Salmonidae. The record is from RefSeq and is a predicted model, not a curated record. The transcript is spliced from 3 exons.